GUGGGGAAUAUUGGGCAAUGGAGGGAACUCUGACCCAGCAAUGCCGCGUGAGUGAAGAAGGUUUUCGGAUUGUAAAACUCUUUAAGCAGGGACGAAGAAAGUGACGGUACCUGCAGAAUAAGCAUCGGCUAACUACGUGCCAGCAGCCGCGGUAAUACGUAGGAUGCAAGCGUUAUCCGGAAUGACUGGGCGUAAAGGGUGCGUAGGCGGUAAAUCAAGUUGGCAGCGUAAUUCCGGGGCUUAACUCCGGAACUACUGCCAAAACUGGUGAACUAGAGUGUGUCAGGGGUAAGUGGAAUUCCUAGUGUAGCGGUGGAAUGCGUAGAUAUUAGGAGGAACACCGGAGGCGAAAGCGACUUACUGGGGCACAACUGACGCUGAGGCACGAAAGCGUGGGGAGCAAACAGGAUUAGAAACCCCGGUAGUCC
RNAcentral lists this ribosomal RNA (428 nucleotides) under uncultured bacterium. RNAcentral describes it as "bacterial SSU rRNA". It matches the Rfam family "Bacterial small subunit ribosomal RNA", at positions 354 to 796 of the family's 1533-position model. The record is from RNAcentral.